GAUGAACGCUGGCGGCGUGCUUAACACAUGCAAGUCGAACGAAGCACUCUAUUUGAUUUUCUUCGGAAAUGAAGAUUUUGUGACUGAGUGGCGGACGGGUGAGUAACGCGUGGGUAACCUGCCUCAUACAGGGGGAUAACAGUUGGAAACGACUGCUAAUACCGCAUAAGCGCACAGGAUCGCAUGAUCCGGUGUGAAAAACUCCGGUGGUAUGAGAUGGACCCGCGUCUGAUUAGCCAGUUGGCAGGGUAACGGCCUACCAAAGCGACGAUCAGUAGCCGACCUGAGAGGGUGACCGGCCACAUUGGGACUGAGACACGGCCCAAACUCCUACGGGAGGCAGCAGUGGGGAAUAUUGCACAAUGGGGGAAACCCUGAUGCAGCGACGCCGCGUGAGCGAAGAAGUAUUUCGGUAUGUAAAGCUCUAUCAGCAGGGAAGAAGAAUGACGGUACCUGACUAAGAAGCACCGGCUA
This 474-nucleotide ribosomal RNA is filed under the name uncultured bacterium. RNAcentral describes it as "bacterial SSU rRNA". It matches the Rfam family "Bacterial small subunit ribosomal RNA", at positions 28 to 499 of the family's 1533-position model. The record is from RNAcentral.